RNAcentral lists this transfer RNA (65 nucleotides) under Euploea core. RNAcentral's name for it is "tRNA-Phe". The record is from RNAcentral. Lineage: Eukaryota; Metazoa; Arthropoda; Insecta; Lepidoptera; Nymphalidae.
AUUUAAAUAGCUUAAAUUAGAGCAUAAUAUUGAAGAUAUUAAAGUGAUUAAUAAAUCUUUAAAUA